UACGAAGGGUGCAAGCGUUACUCGGAAUUACUGGGCGUAAAGCGUGCGUAGGUGGUUCGUUAAGUCUGAUGUGAAAGCCCUGGGCUCAACCUGGGAAUGGCAUUGGAUACUGGCGUCCUAGAGUGCGGUAGAGGGGUGUGGAAUUCCCGGUGUAGCAGUGAAAUGCGUAGAUAUCGGGAGGAACAUCUGUGGCGAAGGCGACACCCUGGACCAGCACUGACACUGAGGCGCGAAAGCGUGGGGAGCAAACAGG
This 253-nucleotide ribosomal RNA is filed under the name uncultured bacterium. RNAcentral's name for it is "partial 16S ribosomal RNA". It matches the Rfam family "Bacterial small subunit ribosomal RNA", at positions 524 to 776 of the family's 1533-position model. The record is from RNAcentral.